GGGGCCUUCGAUAGCUCAGUUGGUAGAG
RNAcentral lists this non-coding RNA (28 nucleotides) under Cricetulus griseus (Chinese hamster). The record is from RNAcentral. Lineage: Eukaryota; Metazoa; Chordata; Mammalia; Rodentia; Cricetidae.